This 253-nucleotide ribosomal RNA is filed under the name uncultured bacterium. RNAcentral describes it as "partial 16S ribosomal RNA". It matches the Rfam family "Bacterial small subunit ribosomal RNA", at positions 524 to 776 of the family's 1533-position model. The record is from RNAcentral.
UACGUGGGGGGCAAGCGUUGUCCGGAAUCAUUGGGCGUAAAGCGCGUGUAGGCGGCCCGGUAAGUCCGCUGUGAAAGUCCAGGGCUCAACCCUGGGAUGCCGGUGGAUACUGUCGGGCUUGAGUCCGGAAGAGGCGAGUGGAAUUCCUGGUGUAGCGGUGAAAUGCGCAGAUAUCAGGAGGAACACCAAUGGCGAAGGCAGCUCGCUGGGACGUGACUGACGCUGAGACGCGAAGGCGUGGGGAGCAAACAGG